GACGAACGCUGGCGGCGUGCCUAAUACAUGCAAGUAGAACGCUGAAGCGAGGAGCUUGCUCUUCUUGGAUGAGUUGCGAACGGGUGAGUAACGCGUAGGUAACCUGCCUUGUAGCGGGGGAUAACUAUUGGAAACGAUAGCUAAUACCGCAUAACAAUGGAUGACACAUGUCAUUUAUUUGAAAGGGGCAAUUGCUCCACUACAAGAUGGACCUGCGUUGUAUUAGCUAGUAGGUGAGGUAAUGGCUCACCUAGGCGACGAUACAUAGCCGACCUGAGAGGGUGAUCGGCCACACUGGGACUGAGACACGGCCCAGACUCCUACGGGAGGCAGCAGUAGGGAAUCUUCGGCAAUGGGGGCAACCCUGAACGAGCAACGCCGCGUGAGUGAAGAAGGUUUUCGGAUCGUAAAGCUCUGUUGUAAGUCAAGAACGGGUGUGAGAGUGGAAAGUUCACACUGUGACGGUAGCUUACCAGAAAGGGACGGCUAACUACGUG
RNAcentral lists this ribosomal RNA (497 nucleotides) under uncultured bacterium. RNAcentral's name for it is "partial 16S ribosomal RNA". It matches the Rfam family "Bacterial small subunit ribosomal RNA", at positions 28 to 507 of the family's 1533-position model. The record is from RNAcentral.